RNAcentral lists this long non-coding RNA (426 nucleotides) under Parus major (Great Tit). Its description in RNAcentral is "lncRNA (ENSPMJG00000019922.1)". Lineage: Eukaryota; Metazoa; Chordata; Aves; Passeriformes; Paridae. The record is from RNAcentral.
CUGCCUUACAAGCCCGGUCUUCAAAGCAUUCCUGUCUUUACUGUCGAAUGCACCAAAUGUCUCCCACAGCUGUUUAGUUGAGAGGUUUGGGGAGAGGAUCAUGGUAUCAUCACCCUCAUAGCACCAAGUAUUGCUUGGGAAGCUAUUCAGGGCUGGAUGAAUUACACAAGGUUCCUUGGACACCAGACAGGCGAAGCGGGGUUAGAGCACCAUGUGAUCUCAGCUACAGUUCCCAGCCCAGAGUCCUGAUGUUGUGCACAGACGUGGUAACUUGGCUCCUUUCCUGCUUGAAAACAUUUGUUUGGAUGUUCUGAGACUUUCUCAACACUGUGGCCCCCCGCCAUAGGGUGUUACAUGGCUUUAGAUAAGAAAUCUCCAUAAAACUGUAAGCAAUGUGUCUUCUGCAGUAAAUCUUUCUUCUUAGUC